RNAcentral lists this ribosomal RNA (339 nucleotides) under Rhipicephalus sp. USNTC-RML 90373b. Its description in RNAcentral is "partial 12S ribosomal RNA". Lineage: Eukaryota; Metazoa; Arthropoda; Arachnida; Ixodida; Ixodidae. The record is from RNAcentral.
AUUAUUUAAGAGCUAAAUGUUGUAAGUAAAUAAAAAUUAUGAAAGCAAAAAAUUAUGGCGGUAUUUUAAGCUUUUCAGAGGAAUUUGCUCUUUAAUGGAUAAAACACCUAAAUCUUACUUAAAUUUGUUAAUUCAAUUUGUAUACCACUAUAAAAACAAUUUAUAACUUUAAUUGUUUAAAUUUAUUAAAUUAAAAUAUAUUAAGUCAAGGUGCAGUAAAAAUUUAAGAAUGAAGUGAAUUACAUUACUCUUUAGAGAAAUAAAUUUAAAAUAAUAUUUAGGAUUUGAAAGUAAAAUUAAAAUAAAAUGUUAAUUUGAAUUAAGCUCUAAAAUAUGUAC